UCUCUAUUUCGCGUGCUCUCUCACCACUCUGACCGGUGAGAGAGUGUGUGAAAUGAAGAGU
RNAcentral lists this microRNA precursor (61 nucleotides) under Pristionchus pacificus. RNAcentral describes it as "mir-8364 microRNA precursor family". It matches the Rfam family "mir-8364 microRNA precursor family". The record is from Rfam by way of RNAcentral. Lineage: Eukaryota; Metazoa; Nematoda; Chromadorea; Rhabditida; Neodiplogasteridae.